GAUCUUCGGAUCUAGUGGCGCACGGGUGCGUAACACGUGGGAAUCUGCCCUUUGGUUCGGAAUAACUCAGGGAAACUUGAGCUAAUACCGGAUGAUGACGUAAGUCCAAAGAUUUAUCGCCAAAGGAUGAGCCCGCGUAGGAUUAGCUAGUUGGUAGGGUAAAGGCCUACCAAGGCGACGAUCCUUAGCUGGUCUGAGAGGAUGAUCAGCCACACUGGGACUGAGACACGGCCCAGACUCCUACGGGAGGCAGCAGUGGGGAAUAUUGGACAAUGGGGGAAACCCUGAUCCAGCAAUGCCGCGUGAGCGAUGAAGGCCUUAGGGUUGUAAAGCUCUUUUACCCGGGAUGAUAAUGACAGUACCGGGAGAAUAAGCCCCGGCUAACUCCGUGCCAGCAGCCGCGGUAAUACGGAGGGGGCUAGCGUUGUUCGGAAUUACUGGGCGUAAAGCGCACGUAGGCGGCUAUUCAAGUCAGGGGUGAAAGCCCGGGGCUCAACCCCGGAAUUGCCCUUGAAACUAGAUAGCUAGAAUCAUGGAGAGGUGAGUGGAAUUCCGAGUGUAGAGGUGAAAUUCGUAGAUAUUCGGAAGAACACCAGUGGCGAAGGCGGCUCACUGGA
Molecule: ribosomal RNA, 617 nt
Filed under: uncultured Alphaproteobacteria bacterium
Lineage: Bacteria; Pseudomonadati; Pseudomonadota; Alphaproteobacteria
Description: bacterial SSU rRNA
Rfam family: Bacterial small subunit ribosomal RNA
Source: RNAcentral